ACGAACGCUGGCGGCGCGUCUUAAGCAUGCAAGUCGGACGGCAAGAGAAGUGCUUGCACUUCUCCUAGAGUGGCGGACUGGUGAGUAACAGGUGGGUGACAUACCCUCAGAUGGGGAUAGCCGGUAGAAAUACCGGGUAAUACCGAAUACGCUCGUACAUCUCGGAAGUGUACGAGGAAAGGAGCUACGGCUUCGCUGUUGGAUUGGCCCGCUUCCCAUUAGCUAGUUGGUGAGGUAAUGGCCCACCAAGGCUAUGAUGGGUAUCCGGCCUGAGAGGGUGAUCGGACACAUUGGGACUGAGAUACGGCCCAGACUCCUACGGGAGGCAGCAGCUAAGAAUAUUCCGCAAUGGACGAAAGUCUGACGGAGCGACGCCGCGUGGAUGAUGAAGGCCGGAAGGUUUGUAAAAUCCUUUAGCAAGUGAGGAAUAAGCAGAGCAGGGAAUGGCUCUGUGGUGACUGUAGCUUGAGAAUAAGCAUCGGCUAAUUACGUGCCAGCCGCCGC
Molecule: ribosomal RNA, 504 nt
Filed under: uncultured bacterium
Lineage: Bacteria
Description: bacterial SSU rRNA
Rfam family: Bacterial small subunit ribosomal RNA
Source: RNAcentral